UGGGGAAUCUUGGACAAUGGGGGCAACCCUGAUCCAGCCAUGCCGCGUGAGUGAUGAAGGCCUUAGGGUCGUAAAGCUCUUUCGCCUGUGAAGAUAAUGACGGUACCUAGUAAAGAAGUCCCGGCUAACUCCGUGCCAGCAGCCGCGGUAAUACGGAGGGGACUAGCGUUGUUCGGAAUUACUGGGCGUAAAGAGUUCGUAGGCGGACUAGCAAGUUAGAGGUGAAAUCCCAGGGCUCAACCUUGGAACUGCCUUUAAAACUGCUAGUCUAGAGACCGGAAGAGGUUAGGGGAAUACCUAGUGUAGAGGUGAAAUUCGUAGAUAUUUGGAGGAACACCAGUGGCGAAGGCGGCUCACUGGCUCGAUACUGACGCUGAGGUGCGAAAGUGUGGGGAGCAAACAGGAUUAGAUACCCUGGUAGUCCACGCCGUAAACGAUGAGUGCUAGAUGUUGGGAUUUUCGGAUUUCAGUGUCGCAGCUAACGCAUUAAGCACUCCGCC
This 500-nucleotide ribosomal RNA is filed under the name uncultured bacterium. RNAcentral describes it as "bacterial SSU rRNA". It matches the Rfam family "Bacterial small subunit ribosomal RNA", at positions 355 to 873 of the family's 1533-position model. The record is from RNAcentral.